AGCCUGUGAUGGUUUAAGAGUAGUGGGCAGAAUGGAUUUCUGAACAAUUUUAUUUUGAGGCU
Molecule: small nucleolar RNA, 62 nt
Organism: Camelus dromedarius (Arabian camel)
Lineage: Eukaryota; Metazoa; Chordata; Mammalia; Artiodactyla; Camelidae
Source: Ensembl